GAGGAAGCUAGAUUAGAGCACGAGACUUUUAAUCUCGUGGCCGUGGGUUCGAAUCCCACCCGGCUCACCA
Molecule: transfer RNA, 70 nt
Filed under: Belnapia arida
Lineage: Bacteria; Pseudomonadati; Pseudomonadota; Alphaproteobacteria; Acetobacterales; Roseomonadaceae
Description: tRNA-Lys
Rfam family: tRNA (bases 3-61)
About the family: Transfer RNA (tRNA) molecules are approximately 80 nucleotides in length.
Source: RNAcentral